UCGGGGAGUAUCAUAACUGGAAAAGCUUCGGUCUUGAAAACCGAUAGGCGUGUAAAAGCGUUUGGGGGUUCGAGUCCCUCCUCCUCGGU
This 89-nucleotide transfer RNA is filed under the name Enterococcus phage vB_OCPT_CCS2. RNAcentral describes it as "tRNA-Ser". It matches the Rfam family "tRNA". Rfam says of the family: Transfer RNA (tRNA) molecules are approximately 80 nucleotides in length. Their secondary structure includes four short double-helical elements and three loops (D, anti-codon, and T loops). Lineage: Duplodnaviria; Heunggongvirae; Uroviricota; Caudoviricetes. RNAcentral also lists the same sequence under 1 other name. The record is from RNAcentral.